GAAUGCGAGGUGGAUCUGGUUGGGAUAUCUCUCACUCCACUGAUCAGCAGCGUGGAGUCAGCUGAUCUGAUGGCUAAACAGGUGUCCCCCUGCUCUCCCUCAUCACUCUGCGUGCAGAUGUCCCUCCUGAAGCCAUUUGCUGGCUUGAAGAAUGACCGUUGAAUGAAGAGGACUACUCUUCAAUCCAGAGGGGGCUCUGCUCCCCUUCCAGAAUCUCCCAGGAAGCUUUCAAGGUCCCUCAGUCAGAGAAAGGGACCUUUACCCCAUGCAUGCAAAUGAGGUGCUGCAUCUGGCAGUCUGUCUUUUUUU
This 309-nucleotide small nuclear RNA is filed under the name Echinops telfairi (small Madagascar hedgehog). RNAcentral describes it as "7SK RNA (ENSETEG00000024503.1)". It matches the Rfam family "7SK RNA". Rfam says of the family: 7SK was discovered as an abundant small nuclear RNA in the mid-70s but a possible function has only recently been suggested. Lineage: Eukaryota; Metazoa; Chordata; Mammalia; Afrosoricida; Tenrecidae. The record is from RNAcentral.